This is a long non-coding RNA of Otolemur garnettii (small-eared galago), 1005 nucleotides long. RefSeq lists it as uncharacterized. The transcript is spliced from 3 exons. NCBI's taxonomy places the organism in Eukaryota, Metazoa, Chordata, Mammalia, Primates, Galagidae. The record is from RefSeq and is a predicted model, not a curated record.
UAAAACACGGCUUGUAGAGAGACUAAACAUGAACAAAGACUAUACACGUGUGUGUCUUUACACAAAAAUAUAAAUCGUUUGUGUAUGGGACAUUCCUGUCCACAUUAGAAGCAGUGGGAUGUUGUUAUUUCUGGGACACAGAGCUGGAACGCAGGUGAUGGCUGUUCAGAACAGCUCCUGAGUCUCACUUCAUACUUCUGUCUCGGUGAAAUGGUUUGGCCACGAGGAGGUCCUAUUACAGAGCUGUUGUAGAUUUGUGAUAGAUUCUGAAGAGACUGCGGGACAUUCUGGUCAUUGGAAGGGAACAGCUUGCAGGAGUGGCCACACCGGAGCCCAGGCGGCGGCACUCCCGAGCCUAGGACCCUGAGCGCCGGUAAGGAGCGUGGCAAGGACAGGGUUAAUGCCCCGUCCCGGGCUGCCCGCUGCCUCCACCGCAAUCCUGUAAUUAGGCUAAUGAAGCAGGUUCACCGAGUAGGAUGGAAAUGUAAUUGGCUGCACCACCUGAGCUCUGCAAGGCUUCAGAGACGCCUUGGAGCAAAGUGCAGUCAAGGAUCGCAACCGUGGGCAGAACGUCAGCACAGAAAAGGAGAGAAAAGCCAGUGGGAGCUUGCCAUUCCCUGAAUUUUUUCAAAGGUACGUCUUUUCUGUAUAAUUGCUCCCAACCCCACUUUGUGUAAGCAUGAAGAUUAAGUGGACAAAGACAAAUUCAGUUAAGCCGCAGGCUUGGGUGACCGGCAAUUUUUCUUGGGGAGCUGAAACCACACAUCUCGAGGGUAGGGACGAGCGUGCAGGACGCCUCUGAACGGGAGGGAGGCAGGAUUUGAGGAUAAAUCACGUGACGAACUGAGCCCUCCCCUAUUAAUCUUUUAUUCAGAAACAGACACUGUUUUAAGGGGAAAUUAAAGGCGAUCAAUAAGCUGGCUUGCCUGGGCGGCUUCUGAGCACAAGAUGCAAAUAUCAUUCCAAAUUCUAGAUUCCAAAGAGAUUGCUGCAUUGAUAUGUUAA